GACGAACGCUGGCGGCGUGCCUAACACGUGCAAGUCAACUUGACUGAAGGAGCAAUCUGACAGUAGAGUGGCGCAAGGGUGCGUAACGCGUAAGUAACUUGCCCCAAGGUAAGGAAUAACGUCGAGAAAUCGGCGCUAAUACCUCAUAAUGCAGCGGAUCCGCAUGGAUAUGUUGUUAAAGGUUUACCGCCUUGGGAUAGGCUUGCGUCUGAUUAGCUAGUUGGUGUGGUAACGGCACACCAAGGCUACGAUCAGUAACUGGUCUGAGAGGAUGAUCAGUCACACUGGAACUGAGACACGGUCCAGACUCCUACGGGAGGCAGCAGUGAGGAAUAUUGGGCAAUGCUCGAAAGAGUGACCCAGCAACGCCGCGUGGAGGAUGAAGGGUAAUUCUAUAUCGUAAACUACCUGUGAGAGCAGACGAAAGACAGAUUAUUAAUCUGGAUGACUGUAUGCUCAGAGGAAGACCCCGGCUAACUACGUGCCACG
RNAcentral lists this ribosomal RNA (489 nucleotides) under uncultured bacterium. RNAcentral's name for it is "bacterial SSU rRNA". It matches the Rfam family "Bacterial small subunit ribosomal RNA", at positions 28 to 512 of the family's 1533-position model. The record is from RNAcentral.